Drosophila grimshawi is the source of this 394-nucleotide long non-coding RNA. RefSeq lists it as uncharacterized. The record is from RefSeq and is a predicted model, not a curated record. The transcript is spliced from 3 exons. NCBI's taxonomy places the organism in Eukaryota, Metazoa, Arthropoda, Insecta, Diptera, Drosophilidae.
AUAUGAACGCAUCCGCAAAGUGAUUGAUUACAAAAAGUAUUUCACGAUUCCGCGACUUCUCGAUGCUGACAAGGGUUUGAGCAACUAGGAUAACACCUCGUGCUGAUCGAUGAGUCUAAGCGGUUGGGACGAAUACUCGAUGCCGAAACCGGAAAUUAUAACAUUCAUCACCGAUAUUACAAAGAUGACCACCAAAAUGAUAUCGUUCAAUAUUAUUGCUGCCGUCUGGUCUUGCUGCUUGUUAAUAUUCAGACUGCCGAUGGCCACAAACAGAAUUCCGACCAAUAGCUGUGUAAAAUUAAAAUUGAAAUUUGAGUUAAGAAUGCGACGAAUUUCCCCAAUCACACAAACAGUUGUUCGCCUUGCGGCGGGGGCAGGCGACUAUCAAAUGCCG